This 431-nucleotide ribosomal RNA is filed under the name uncultured bacterium. Its description in RNAcentral is "bacterial SSU rRNA". It matches the Rfam family "Bacterial small subunit ribosomal RNA", at positions 29 to 506 of the family's 1533-position model. The record is from RNAcentral.
ACGAACGCUGGCGGCAGGCCUAACACAUGCAAGUCGAACGAUGUAGCAAUACAUAGUGGCGCACGGGUGAGUAACGCGUGGGGAUGUACCAUUUGGUGGGGAAUAACUCCGGGAAACUGGAGCUAAUACCGCAUACGCCCUUCGGGGGAAAGAUUUAUCGCCAAAUGAUCAGCCCGCGUGAGAUUAGAUAGUUGGUGGGGUAAUGGCCUACCAAGUCUACGAUCUCUAGCUGGUCUUAGAGGACGACCAGCCACACUGGAACUGAGACACGGUCCAGACUCCUACGGGAGGCAGCAGUGGGGAAUAUUGGGCAAUGGGCGCAAGCCUGACCCAGCCAUGCCGCGUGAGUGAUGAAGGCUUUAGGGUUGUAAAGCUCUUUCACCGAUGAAGAUAAUGACGGUAGUCGGAGAAGAAGCCCCGGCUAACUUCGU